This 481-nucleotide ribosomal RNA is filed under the name uncultured bacterium. RNAcentral's name for it is "bacterial SSU rRNA". It matches the Rfam family "Bacterial small subunit ribosomal RNA", at positions 29 to 506 of the family's 1533-position model. The record is from RNAcentral.
ACGAACGUUGGCGGCGUGGAUUAGGCAUGCAAGUCGUGGGCGACUGGGGGCAACUCCAGUUGACCGGCGUAAGGGGUAGUUAUGCAUGGGUAACCAACCCUCCAGAUGGGGAUAACCCAGGGAAACCUGGACUAAUACCCAGCGACGUUGCGAGGGGGCAUCUCUUUGCAACCAAAGGUGUGAUUCCGCUGGAGGACGGGCUCAUGUGGUAUUAGCUAGUUGGUAGGGUAACGGCCUACCAAGGCUACGAUGCCUAGGGGGUGUUAGCGCACGACCCCCACCACUGGGACUGAGACACUGCCCAGACACCUACGGGUGGCUGCAGUCGAGAAUCUUCGGCAAUGGGCGCAAGCCUGACCGAGCGACGCCGCGUGCGGGAUGAAGGCCUUCGGGUUGUAAACCGCUGUCAGAGGGGCGGAAAUCCAGGGGGGCUAUCCCCCUUGGUUGACUUAUCCUCAGAGGAAGGACGGGCUAAGUUCGU